This 251-nucleotide ribosomal RNA is filed under the name uncultured bacterium. RNAcentral's name for it is "partial 16S ribosomal RNA". It matches the Rfam family "Bacterial small subunit ribosomal RNA", at positions 525 to 775 of the family's 1533-position model. The record is from RNAcentral.
ACAGAGGGUGCGAGCGUUAAUCGGAUUUACUGGGCGUAAAGCGCACGCAGGCGGUUAUGUAAGACAGAUGUGAAAGCCCCGGGCUCAACCUGGGAACUGCCUUUGUGACUGCAUGGCUAGAGUACGGUAGAGGGGGAUGGAAUUCCGCGUGUAGCAGUGAAAUGCGUAGAUAUGCGGAGGAACACCGAUGGCGAAGGCAAUCCCCUGGACCUGUACUGACGCUCAUGCACGAAAGCGUGGGGAGCAAACAG